UCCUGGAGCCUGCAGAGCCUGCGCCAGCUCCCUGGCCCUGCCCGCCGUCAGGCAGGGGAGCAGGCGCUGCCCUGGAGCCAGACACUUCACCCAGUGUCCUGACGACCGUGGCGUCACGCAGAGCUAAGUUGAGAGGUGCCCGAUUCGUGACGACAUUUUGGCUGAGGCACGGAGCCCUCACUCCUCCUCCGUCCUGCGCGGCGCCGACUCCCGUGUCUUCCCCUGGCCUCCCCUCCUGGGCUCCCACCCUCCGUGACGGGGACCAAGAGAGACUGCAUCCGGAGUUCUGGACCAGACCGGUGGGCGGAUGGGAGGCAGGUCCUCGGGCCACACACACCACCGUGUCCAGCCUCGGGAAGCCUCUGGCCCCCCCUCAUCUGCCUGCCGGUGAUCCUUUACUUUAAAGCAUGUUUUUCAACGUCCCUUACACUGUGUGGCUGUUCCAGGUGGCAGUCCCUGGGGUGCCUCAGUUCUGACCCGGGCCUGCAGGCCAGUGGGAGAGGUGAGGAGUGGUCUCCGUCUGUCUGGAGGUAAAGAUGGGGUCUGGAGAGAGAUCUGCAGGCCGCUGCUGCGGGUCAGAGAAGGCAGGGCCUGGUGGCGCAGCGGCCCCAGCACUCCUGGCCCUGGCCCUGGCCCUGGGGGAGGGGGGGCAGGGUCCUGAGAACCACAAGGCCAGGGCCUGACCAGGGGUGGCCAGGGCCGGGGAUUCAUGCUGAGAACGUGCCAGUCUCUCUCCGAAGCAGAGCCACUAUCAGACUUGCAUGCUGGGACACGGGGGUACUUGGGACAGCAGGAACAGCGGGCAGCAGCCACCCAGGACGCAGUCUGAGGCCACAGGAUGCUGCAGGUCAAGGGCAGAGGGAGAGGUUAGCACGGAGGAGAAGGGGAGCUGCCCUCUCUGCACAGGAGCCCAAGCCAAGUAAACCUCACUACCACGUUGGGUCUCUUGAGGCUGGAGCUGGGAGGAGCCGUCCUGGAGCUGGUUUUACAGGUGAGGAGAGUCUGGUCUCACCACUCGAACCUUCUUUCAUGAAGCCAGGCGGGUCCCGGGCUAAGGGAUGCGGAGGUCUGUACCGUGUGCUCCCUGACCGUGUCUUGGGUUUGCCACCUGAGGGGGUGUU
This is a non-coding RNA of Ictidomys tridecemlineatus (thirteen-lined ground squirrel), 1121 nucleotides long. The record is from RefSeq and is a predicted model, not a curated record. NCBI's taxonomy places the organism in Eukaryota, Metazoa, Chordata, Mammalia, Rodentia, Sciuridae.